AACGAACGCUGGCGGCAUGCCUAACACAUGCAAGUCGAACGAGACCUUCGGGUCUAGUGGCGCACGGGUGCGUAACGCGUGGGGACCUGCCCUUAGGUUCGGAAUAACUCCCCGAAAGGGGUGCUAAUGCCGGAUAAUGUCUUCGGACCAAAGAUUUAUCGCCUUUGGAUGGGCCCGCGUUGGAUUAGCUAGUUGGUAGGGUAAAAGCCUACCAAGGCGACGAUCCAUAGCUGGUCUGAGAGGAUGAUCAGCCACACUGGGACUGAGACACGGCCCAGACUCCUACGGGAGGCAGCAGUAGGGAAUAUUGGACAAUGGGCGAAAGCCUGAUCCAGCAAUGCCGCGUGAGUGAUGAAGGCCUUAGGGUUGUAAAGCUCUUUUACCCGGGAUGAUAAUGACAGUACCGGGAGAAUAAGCUCCGGCUAACUCCGUG
RNAcentral lists this ribosomal RNA (433 nucleotides) under uncultured bacterium. RNAcentral describes it as "partial 16S ribosomal RNA". It matches the Rfam family "Bacterial small subunit ribosomal RNA", at positions 29 to 507 of the family's 1533-position model. The record is from RNAcentral.